RNAcentral lists this ribosomal RNA (468 nucleotides) under uncultured bacterium. RNAcentral's name for it is "partial 16S ribosomal RNA". It matches the Rfam family "Bacterial small subunit ribosomal RNA", at positions 28 to 507 of the family's 1533-position model. The record is from RNAcentral.
GACGAACGCUGGCGGCGUGCUUAACACAUGCAAGUCGAACGGAAAGGCCCUGCUUUUGUGGGGUGCUCGAGUGGCGAACGGGUGAGUAACACGUGAGUAACCUGCCCUUGACUUUGGGAUAACUUCAGGAAACUGGGGCUAAUACCGGAUAGGAGCUCCUGCUGCAUGGUGGGGGUUGGAAAGUUUCGGCGGUUGGGGAUGGACUCGCGGCUUAUCAGCUUGUUGGUGGGGUAGUGGCUUACCAAGGCUUUGACGGGUAGCCGGCCUGAGAGGGUGACCGGCCACAUUGGGACUGAGAUACGGCCCAGACUCCUACGGGAGACAGCAGUGAGGAAUAUUGCACAAUGGGCGGAAGCCUGAUGCAGCAACGCCGCGUGCGGGAUGACGGCCUUCGGGUUGUAAACCGCUUUCGCCUGUGACGAAGCGUGAGUGACGGUAAUGGGUAAAGAAGCACCGGCUAACUACGUG